GCGAAAGUUACGCUAAUACCGCAUAUUCUGUGCGCAGGAAAGCAGGGGAUCGCAAGACCUUGCGCUGAUUGAGCGGCCGAUAUCAGAUUAGCUAGUUGGUGAGGUAAAAGCUCACCAAGGCGACGAUCUGUAGCGGGUCUGAGAGGAUGAUCCGCCACACUGGAACUGAGACACGGUCCAGACUCCUACGGGAGGCAGCAGUGGGGAAUUUUGGACAAUGGGGGCAACCCUGAUCCAGCCAUGCCGCGUGAGUGAAGAAGGCCUUCGGGUUGUAAAGCUCUUUCAGCCGGGAAGAAAAUGCAUGGGUUAAUACCCUGUGCAGAUGACGGUACCGGAAUAAGAAGCACCGGCUAACUACGUGCCAGCAGCCGCGGUAAUACGUAGGGUGCGAGCGUUAAUCGGAAUUACUGGGCGUAAAGCGUGCGCAGGCGGUUUUGUAAGACAGGCGUGAAAUCCCCGGGCUUAACCUGGGAACUGCGUUUGUGACUGCAAGGCUAGAGUACGGCAGAGGGGGGUGGAAUUCCACGUGUAGCAGUGAAAUGCGUAGAGAUGUGGAGGAACACCAAUGGCGAAGGCAGCCCCCUGGGUCGAUACUGACGCUCAUGCACGAAAGCGUGGGUAGCAAACAGGAUUAGAUACCCUGGUAGUCCACGCCCUAAACGAUGUCAACUAGGUGUUGGGAGGGUAAAACCUUUUAGUACCGUAGCUAACGCGAGAAGUUGACCGCCUGGGGAGUACGGCCGCAAGGUUAAAACUCAAAGGAAUUGACGGGGACCCGCACAAGCGGUGGAUGAUGUGGAUUAAUUCGAUGCAACGCGAAAAACCUUACCUACCCUUGACAUGUCAGGAACUUUCCAGAGAUGGAUUGGUGCUCGAAAGAGAACCUGAACACAGGUGCUGCAUGGCUGUCGUCAGCUCGUGUCGUGAGAUGUUGGGUUAAGUCCCGCAACGAGCGCAACCCUUGUCGUUAAUUGCCAUCAUUCAGUUGGGCACUUUAACGAGACUGCCGGUGACAAACCGGAGGAAGGUGGGGAUGACGUCAAGUCCUCAUGGCCCUUAUGGGUAGGGCUUCACACGUCAUACAAUGGUCGGUACAAAGGGUCGCCAACCCGCGAGGGGGAGCCAAUCCCAUAAAGCCGAUCGUAGUCCGGAUUGUAGGCUGCAACUCGCCUGCAUGAAGUCGGAAUCGCUAGUAAUCGUGGAUCAGCAUGUCACGGUGAAUACGUUCCCGGGUCUUGUACACACCGCCCGUCACACCAUGGGAGCGGGUUCCGCCAGAAGUAGGUAGCCUAACCGCAAGGAGGGCGCUUACC
This 1313-nucleotide ribosomal RNA is filed under the name metagenome. RNAcentral's name for it is "bacterial SSU rRNA". It matches the Rfam family "Bacterial small subunit ribosomal RNA", at positions 151 to 1458 of the family's 1533-position model. The record is from RNAcentral.